This 253-nucleotide ribosomal RNA is filed under the name uncultured bacterium. Its description in RNAcentral is "partial 16S ribosomal RNA". It matches the Rfam family "Bacterial small subunit ribosomal RNA", at positions 524 to 776 of the family's 1533-position model. The record is from RNAcentral.
UACAGAGGGUGCGAGCGUUGUUCGGAAUCACUGGGCAUAAAGCGCUCGUAGGCGGCACCGCAAGUGUGGGGUGAAAUCCCACGGCUUACCCGUGGAACUGCCUGGCAGACUGCGGUGCUAGAGGAUGGUAGGGGAGAGCGGAACUCUUGGUGGAGCGGUGAAAUGCGUAGAUAUCAAGAGGAACACCGGUGGCGAAGGCGGCUCUCUGGUCCAAACCUGACGCUGAGGAGCGAAAGCUAGGGGAGCAAACGGG